CUGGUUGAUCCUGCCAGUGAUCAUAUGCUUGUCUCAAAGCUUAAGCCAUGCAAGUCUAAGUUCAGGCUUGUUCCUUUCGGGGAGCGAGCCGAAACUGCGAACGGCUCAUUAGUCAGAUAAGGUUCCUUGGCUAAAAGCGGGUCGGUUUUAAUGGAUAACUGUGGUAAUUCUAGAGCUAAUACAUGCAACGCACCGUGGUCCCCGUAGUCUUCUCGUCUCGGGGAAACGGCAUUUAUUCUCUGGACCAGAUCGCCCUAGCCUGCGAAGCUACCGUCAAAAGUAGCGACGGGGCGAAGCGACAAGUGUUGAAAUCCGAAUAACUGUGCCGAUCGCGGGGUCUUUCCGGGCCCCCGACGACUUUGCCAUGAAGUGUCUGUCCCAUCAAUUGGCGAUGGUCGGCGACCUGCCUACCACGGUGUUGACGGGUAACGGGGAAUCAGGGUUCGAUUCCGGAGAGGGAGCCUGCGAAACGGCUACCACCUCCAAGGAGGGCAGCAGGCGCGCAACUUACCCAAUCCCGACACGGGGAGGUAGUGACGAAAAAUAACGUGGCGGGGCCCUUUCGUGGUCGCCGCGGGCGGAAUGAGCGCAAUUUAAAAGAGUGUGCGAGGAGCUAUUGGAGGGCAAGCCUGGUGCCAGCAGCCGCGGUAAUUCCAGCUCCAAUAGCCUAUAUCGGAGUUGCUGCGGUUAAAAAGNCUCGUCGUUGGAUCUCGG
RNAcentral lists this non-coding RNA (714 nucleotides) under Lottia gigantea (owl limpet). RNAcentral describes it as "eukaryotic small subunit ribosomal RNA". It matches the Rfam family "Eukaryotic small subunit ribosomal RNA", at positions 4 to 644 of the family's 1831-position model. Lineage: Eukaryota; Metazoa; Mollusca; Gastropoda; Lottiidae. The record is from Rfam by way of RNAcentral.